Triticum aestivum (bread wheat) is the source of this 513-nucleotide long non-coding RNA. RefSeq lists it as uncharacterized. The transcript has 3 exons. The record is from RefSeq and is a predicted model, not a curated record. NCBI's taxonomy places the organism in Eukaryota, Viridiplantae, Streptophyta, Magnoliopsida, Poales, Poaceae.
GAUCAUCAGCAAGUUUUGUGAGAUAAACAUACACGGAGAAUAUGGCAACCAAUAGUCGUAAGAGUGUGAUUAUGGUAGUAGUCAUACUAGUUCUAGUGAUACAGCAGGCCCAGGUAGAAGCCAAGAGCUGUUGUUGUUCCACCUCGGGAAGAAACUGCUAUAACGCAUGCCGUGUCAUGGGUGCCUCUCGCAAAACAUGUGCAAGCUUGUGUGGUUGCAAAAUUCUUGACAAGUGUGUGCGUCCUUGUGAUCGCUUCAAUCUUUACCCGGAAGCAGACGAAGCAAAAGUCAUUGAGUAUUGCAAGUUGGGAUGCAUGUCCUCCGUCUGCAACACCACAAACACUUUCAUCAUAGGUGAACAAGAGAAAGAUGUCAUAGAGAAUUGCACAACUGGAUGCGAUCGUGUCUGUACCAAGGAUGUUGAAUUUGCCGCAGCUAUUGCAUAAGAAAGUCUAUACGCCGGGAUUUCAUGCCGAGAUAGUCGAAAUGUUCUUGUUGUCUUGAAUAAUUGGA